This 218-nucleotide long non-coding RNA is filed under the name Gallus gallus (chicken). RNAcentral describes it as "long non-coding RNA NONGGAT004374". Lineage: Eukaryota; Metazoa; Chordata; Aves; Galliformes; Phasianidae. The record is from RNAcentral.
GGAGGACUGGCCGGUUAGCUGCUCCCGAGUUAUUUUCCCAGGCAGUGCUGCAAGGAGUUCUGGGAGUUCCGGGGAGAAGAGACCAGCCUCCCUCUGGAGACCUUUACUACAGGUGAAGACCUUCAAACAAGUCAAGCAGACAUAGCAGGAGCUCAGAAGUUUUACAUCAAGCCUCCACUGAAGCUUUGCAGUCCACCAUUCAGAGCCCAGACAAGCGC